Molecule: transfer RNA, 75 nt
Filed under: Abditibacteriota bacterium
Lineage: Bacteria; Pseudomonadati; Abditibacteriota
Description: tRNA-Thr
Rfam family: tRNA
About the family: Transfer RNA (tRNA) molecules are approximately 80 nucleotides in length.
Source: RNAcentral
GCCCACAUGGCGCAGGGGUAGCGCACAUCUUUGGUAAAGAUGAGGUCAUGGGUCCGAAUCCCAUUGUGGGCUCCA